This 409-nucleotide ribosomal RNA is filed under the name Actinomycetes bacterium. RNAcentral's name for it is "Actinobacteria bacterium partial 16S ribosomal RNA". It matches the Rfam family "Bacterial small subunit ribosomal RNA", at positions 355 to 776 of the family's 1533-position model. Lineage: Bacteria; Bacillati; Actinomycetota; Actinomycetes. The record is from RNAcentral.
UGGGGAAUAUUGCACAAUGGGCGGAAGCCUGAUGCAGCGACGCCGCGUGGGGGAUGAAGGCCUUCGGGUUGUAAACUCCUUUCGACAUGGACGAAGCUUUUGUGACGGUACCUGUAUAAGAAGCACCGGCUAACUACGUGCCAGCAGCCGCGGUAAUACGUAGGGUGCGAGCGUUGUCCGGAAUUACUGGGCGUAAAGAGCUCGUAGGUGGUUUGUCGCGUCGUCUGUGAAAUUCCGGGGCUUAACUCCGGGCGUGCAGGCGAUACGGGCUGACUUGAGUGCUGUAGGGGAGACUGGAAUUCCUGGUGUAGCGGUGAAAUGCGCAGAUAUCAGGAGGAACACCGAUGGCGAAGGCAGGUCUCUGGGCAGUAACUGACGCUGAGGAGCGAAAGCAUGGGUAGCGAACAGG